GCCCCCUCCUGGUGCAAUGGGUCAGUGUGUCUGGCUGUGAACCCGAAGGUUGGUGGUUCAAGCCCAUCUAGGGACG
This is a non-coding RNA of Podarcis lilfordi (Lilford's wall lizard), 76 nucleotides long. The record is from the annotation of a GenBank genome assembly. Lineage: Eukaryota; Metazoa; Chordata; Lepidosauria; Squamata; Lacertidae.